This 570-nucleotide small RNA is filed under the name Oryza sativa Japonica Group (Japanese rice). RNAcentral's name for it is "sRNA Os09g0250400". The record is from RNAcentral. Lineage: Eukaryota; Viridiplantae; Streptophyta; Magnoliopsida; Poales; Poaceae.
CUGGUUCUUUUGAGCGGCGACGGCGGCUGCUUUAACAGCGGCGGCGGUCGGCUAGAUGCCAUGGCGGGGUGAGCAGGCGGCAAGCGAGUAGCCGAGCAGGGACUCCGCCGGCGGCGUCUCUAGUUCCCAUGGUAUUGCAGUGAUGCCCCGGCGUUGCUCCUGUUAUUCUUUGUGAGCUUGUAGCGGUGCUCCCGUCUCCUGCUCGAGUCAUCGUCCCCACUGCGUGCACAAGGAGGCAACGCUAGAUUUGGUACUGUGCUACUGUGUAUGUUUGGUAUUUGGAUUCGUAUACAAUAUGCUAAUCUGUCUUUAUAGAUCAAAUUUUUACUGUCACUUCCGUGCAUUCUUAUGAACAGAUGGAUGCAUUCAGAUUUGACAAGGUAUAAUAAGCCAAUAAGGUGUAUUUUGUUAAAUGAUUGCCAUUUGACCUGUAGUACAGAUUUAGCACUUGCCAGUGACUUGUGAACUUGAGAUUUGAGAAACUAUGAAGUAGUACGAGACUAUGAACUGUAUGAGUCACAUGUUGAAUAUUAUAUGGUUAUAUGAUUAAGCUGAGUUAGUUAUGAGCUU